GGUCUCGUAGCUCAGCUGGUAGAGCGUGUACAAAGCGUAGGCGGCGUCCAGGCAUGGGUUCGAAUCCUACCGAGGCUA
This 78-nucleotide transfer RNA is filed under the name Echinostoma caproni. It matches the Rfam family "tRNA". Rfam says of the family: Transfer RNA (tRNA) molecules are approximately 80 nucleotides in length. Their secondary structure includes four short double-helical elements and three loops (D, anti-codon, and T loops). Lineage: Eukaryota; Metazoa; Platyhelminthes; Trematoda; Plagiorchiida; Echinostomatidae. The record is from Rfam by way of RNAcentral.